This 441-nucleotide ribosomal RNA is filed under the name uncultured bacterium. RNAcentral describes it as "bacterial SSU rRNA". It matches the Rfam family "Bacterial small subunit ribosomal RNA", at positions 958 to 1398 of the family's 1533-position model. The record is from RNAcentral.
AACGCGAAGAACCUUACCUGGGCUCGAACGGCUUCUCAACGGCGUUAGAAAUAGCGCUACCCCGCAAGGGGGUGGAGUCGAGGUGCUGCAUGGCUGUCGUCAGCUCGUGUCGUGAGAUGUUGGGUUAAGUCCCGCAACGAGCGCAACCCUUGUCCUGUGUUGCCAUGCCGCAAGGCGGCACUCGCAGGAGACCGCCAGCGAUAAGCUGGAGGAAGGUGGGGAUGACGUCAAGUCCUCAUGGCCUUUAUGUCCAGGGCUACACACGUGCUACAAUGGCCGGUACAAAGCGUCGCUAACCCGCGAGGGGGAGCCAAUCGCAAAAAACCGGUCUCAGUUCGGAUUGCAGGCUGCAACUCGCCUGCAUGAAGCUGGAAUCGCUAGUAAUGGCAGAUCAGCACGCUGCCGUGAAUACGUUCCCGGGCCUUGUACACACCGUAGUAC